UACAUGGGGUGCAACCGUUGCUCGGAAUUAUUGGGCGUAAAGCGCACGUAGGCGGUUUGUUAAGUCGGAUGUGAAAUCCCUCGGCUCAACUGAGGAAGUGCAUCCGAAACUGGCAGGCUUGAGUACUAAAGAGGGUCGCGGAAUUCCCGGUGUAGAGGUGAAAUUCGUAGAUAUCGGGAGGAACACCGGUGGCGAAGGCGGGUCUCUGGGCCGAUACUGACGCUGAGGAGCGAAAGCGUGGGGAGCGAACAGG
RNAcentral lists this ribosomal RNA (253 nucleotides) under uncultured bacterium. Its description in RNAcentral is "partial 16S ribosomal RNA". It matches the Rfam family "Bacterial small subunit ribosomal RNA", at positions 524 to 776 of the family's 1533-position model. The record is from RNAcentral.